Molecule: ribosomal RNA, 448 nt
Filed under: uncultured bacterium
Lineage: Bacteria
Description: bacterial SSU rRNA
Rfam family: Bacterial small subunit ribosomal RNA
Source: RNAcentral
GAUGAACGCUGGCGGUAUGCUUAACACAUGCAAGUCGAACGGACUCUUCGGAGUUAGUGGCGGACGGGUGAGUAACGCGUGAGAAUCUGCCUACAGAUUGGGGACAACAUCGGGAAACUGAUGCUAAUACCGAAUAUGCCGAGAGGUGAAAGAUUUAUCGUCUGUAGAUGAGCUCGCGUCUGAUUAGCUAGUUGGGGCGGUAACGGCGCACCAAGGCGACGAUCAGUAACUGGUCUGAGAGGAUGACCAGUCACACUGGGACUGAGACACGGCCCAGACUCCUACGGGAGGCAGCAGUGGGGAAUUUUCCGCAAUGGGCGAAAGCCUGACGGAGCAAUACCGCGUGCGGGAGGACGCUUUUUGGAGUGUAAACCGCUUUUCUCAAGGAAGAUGAUGACGGUACUUUGAGGAAUCAGCAUCGGCUAACUUCGUGCCAGCGCCGCGGUAA